Crocodylus porosus (Australian saltwater crocodile) is the source of this 136-nucleotide small nucleolar RNA. The record is from Ensembl. NCBI's taxonomy places the organism in Eukaryota, Metazoa, Chordata, Crocodylia, Crocodylidae.
CUGCAUCUAUUUGACAAACCUGGAGCAAAUUACCAUUGCUCAUUUGGUUUUUACUGAGAUGCAAAAGUAAAGUCAUUCCCUGCGCUUUCUGCCUGUCCAUCACAUGACAGCCCAGAUUGAAUAAGGGAAUAUAUAU